UGAACGCUGGCGGCAUGCUUUACACAUGCACGUCGAACGGUAACAGGCCUUCGGGUGCUGACGAGUGGCGAACGGGUGAGUAAUGCAUCGGAACGUGCCCAGAGGUGGGGGAUAACGCAGCGAAAGCUGUGCUAAUACCGCAUGUGAUCUGAGGAUGAAAGCGGGGGACCAGGCAGCAAUGUUUGGCCUCGCGCCUUUGGAGCGGCCGAUGUCAGAUUAGGUAGUUGGUGGGGUAAAGGCCUACCAAGCCGACGAUCUGUAGCUGGUCUGAGAGGACGACCAGCCACACUGGGACUGAGACACGGCCCAGACUCCUACGGGAGGCAGCAGUGGGGAAUUUUGGACAGUGGGCGCAAGCCUGAUCCAGCAAUGCCGCGUGCGGGAAGAAGGCCUUCGGGUUGUAAACCGCUUUUGUACGGAACGAAAAGGCUCUGGCUAAUACCUGGGGCUGAUGACGGUACCGUAAGAAUAAGCACCGGCUAACUACGUG
This 490-nucleotide ribosomal RNA is filed under the name uncultured bacterium. Its description in RNAcentral is "partial 16S ribosomal RNA". It matches the Rfam family "Bacterial small subunit ribosomal RNA", at positions 30 to 507 of the family's 1533-position model. The record is from RNAcentral.